RNAcentral lists this ribosomal RNA (640 nucleotides) under uncultured Candidatus Cardinium sp. RNAcentral's name for it is "bacterial SSU rRNA". It matches the Rfam family "Bacterial small subunit ribosomal RNA", at positions 28 to 664 of the family's 1533-position model. The record is from RNAcentral. Lineage: Bacteria; Pseudomonadati; Bacteroidota; Cytophagia; Cytophagales; Amoebophilaceae.
GAUGAACGCUAGCGGCAGGCCUCAUACAUGCAAGUCGAGGGGCAGCGGGACACUUCGGUGUUGCCGGCGACCGGCGGACGGGUGCGUAAUGCGCAUGCAAUCUACUUUACACUGGGGAAUAGCCUCCGGAAACGGGAAUUAAUACCCCAUAUAAUCUUAUAGCGCAUGUUAAAAAGAUGAAAGCUCCGGCGGUGUAAAAUGAGCGUGCGUCCUAUUAGCUAGUUGGUGAGGUAAUGGCUCACCAAGGCUACGAUGGGUAGGGGUUCUUAGUGGAAGGUCCCCCACACUGGCACUGAGAUACGGGCCAGACUCCUACGGGAGGCAGCAGUAGGGAAUAUUGGUCAAUGGGCGCAAGCCUGAACCAGCCAUGCCGCGUGCAGGAUGAAGGCUCUCUGAGUUGUAAACUGCUUUUGUACAGGAGCAAAAAAAUCCCUGCGGGGGUUCUUGAGAGUACUGUAAGAAUAAGCACCGGCUAAUUCCGUGCCAGCAGCCGCGGUAAUACGGGAGGUGCAAGCGUUAUCCGGUUUUAUUGGGUUUAAAGGGUGCGUAGGCGGCUUAUUAAGUCAGUUGUGAAAUCCUAGUGCUUAACGCUAGAACUGCGAUUGAUACUAUUAGGCUUGAGUUAAGAAGAGGUAAGUAG